RNAcentral lists this ribosomal RNA (476 nucleotides) under uncultured bacterium. RNAcentral describes it as "bacterial SSU rRNA". It matches the Rfam family "Bacterial small subunit ribosomal RNA", at positions 29 to 480 of the family's 1533-position model. The record is from RNAcentral.
AACUAACGCUAGCGGCGUGCCUAACACAUGCAAGUCGUACGAGAAAGUCGGCUUCGGCCGGCGAGUAAAGUGGCGCACGGGUGAGUAACGCGUGGAUAAUCUACCCUUGAGUUGGGAAUAACGUGCCGAAAGGUGCGCUAAUACCGAAUAAUACUGAGUGACUAAUGUUGCUUAGUCAAAGAAGGCCUCUGCUUGCAAGCUUUCGCUGAAGGAUGAGUCCGCGUACCAUUAGCUAGUUGGUAGGGUAAUGGCCUACCAAGGCAACGAUGGUUAGCUGGUCUGAGAGGAUGAUCAGCCACACUGGAACUGAGACACGGUCCAGACUCCUACGGGAGGCAGCAGUGAGGAAUAUUGCGCAAUGGGGGCAACCCUGACGCAGCAACGCCGCGUGAGUGAGGAAGGUUUUCGGACCGUAAAGCUCUGUCGAGCGGGAAGAAAUGCAUGCUGGCUAAUAUCCAUCAUGCUUGACGGUACCG